Pezoporus occidentalis (night parrot) is the source of this 679-nucleotide long non-coding RNA. RefSeq lists it as uncharacterized. The transcript is spliced from 3 exons. The record is from RefSeq and is a predicted model, not a curated record. NCBI's taxonomy places the organism in Eukaryota, Metazoa, Chordata, Aves, Psittaciformes, Psittacidae.
GUGAGUGCUGUAUUAUCUUCAUGCUGCUCCACUGCACUGCCUGUGAUGUGACUUCCCUCAACAUAGAAGAAGUGGCAGUCCUCUUCAGAGAAGGAUAAAUCUAGUGUGAGUUGCGUGGCACUGCAAGGCUUCAGGUGCAAAUGCCAUUGUCACUGAGUACUAGAGCCCCUGUCUGAAGAACCAGUUGUCGUGUUUCUGGAUCCUUCAUCACAUACGCAGUAAGACCAACAGCGCUUGAGCCUCUGCCAGAUGUAUACUGACCCCGAGGAACCAGGUUAUGCACAUACUGGAGCAGCUGUGAUUUGCUGGUACCAGGAUCACCACAGAGAAGAAUGUUGAUCUCUGCACGAAAGUUGCCUCUUCCUGUUAGACACCAUUUCAGAUACUGCCUCUUCCUCACCUACAUUCUCAGAAUACUGAACCAUCAAGGUCAGACAAUUCACUCCAGUAUGUUCAUGUCUCCCUUGGAGAGGGGAGUCCAGAACUGGACUGCAUACUCCAGAUGUGGCCUCACCAGUGCUGAACACAGGGGAAGGAUCACCUCCCUCAACCUGUUGGCAACGCUUCCCUUAAGAAGCCAGGAAGCUGCUGGCACCAGUCAUCUGGUCUGUCAAGCUCCAAUUCCUUCCAGUUUUGCUUUUGUCUGCAAGUUUACUGAGGGUGCACUCUGUCCCAUCAU